UUAUUACCAAGGUUGACC
This 18-nucleotide ribosomal RNA is filed under the name Scolecobasidium cateniphorum. Its description in RNAcentral is "partial 26S ribosomal RNA". Lineage: Eukaryota; Fungi; Ascomycota; Dothideomycetes; Venturiales; Sympoventuriaceae. The record is from RNAcentral.